UCUGUAGGUGGUCAAAUAAGUCAACUGUUAAAUCUUGAGGCUCAACCUCAAAAUCGCAGUCGAAACUAUUAGACUAGAGUAUAGUAGGGGUAAAGGGAAUUUCCAGUGGAGCGGUGAAAUGCGUAGAUAUUGGAAGGAACACCGAUGGCGAAGGCACUUUACUGGGCUAUUACUAACACUCAGAGACGAAAGCUAGGGUAGCAAAUG
RNAcentral lists this ribosomal RNA (207 nucleotides) under uncultured bacterium. RNAcentral describes it as "partial 16S ribosomal RNA". It matches the Rfam family "Bacterial small subunit ribosomal RNA", at positions 568 to 774 of the family's 1533-position model. The record is from RNAcentral.